AACCCCCUCAAGCACUGCUUGGUGUUGGGCGCUUUGUCCCGCCUCCGGGCGCGGACUCGCCUCAAAAACAUUGGCGGCCUGUGUAUUGGCUUCGAGCGCAGCAGAUUCGCGCCUCGCAACCCUCUGGCACGGGCGUCCAUCAAGACGCACCCAA
Molecule: unclassified non-coding RNA, 154 nt
Filed under: uncultured Lophiotremataceae
Lineage: Eukaryota; Fungi; Ascomycota; Dothideomycetes; Pleosporales; Lophiotremataceae
Description: sequence contains ITS2
Source: RNAcentral